Molecule: non-coding RNA, 1291 nt
Organism: Salmo salar (Atlantic salmon)
Lineage: Eukaryota; Metazoa; Chordata; Actinopteri; Salmoniformes; Salmonidae
Source: RefSeq, a predicted model, not a curated record
CUAACUUUGUGUCCAACCUCCCACAUGAAAUUAUCCUUUUAAAAGCGGGCUCAAUAUGUCUCAAUCUGCACUGCACUUCAUUCUAAGCUUUUGGGUAUAGUCUAUGGGACAGUGCCCAGAAAUAUAUUAAUUAAAGCGAGAUGUUGUGUCGAACUUAAAUAUUUCAGACUUUAUGACUGUGAAGAGGAGGAGGCUCAGAGACGCUGAAACAACAACGACUAUGAUGGUCUGCGAAAAAAAAGAGCGAACGAAGCCAAGGCUCUCCCAUUUUCACCUCAAACCUGAGCUGAACUCCGGAAUGCCGCGAACUGUUACACCCUAUCCCAGCGCCGGGGUCAGUGGGAGUGCGUCUCCUUUUCGAUAUGCAGACGGACCGGGACCCUCCGUUCGACCUCCGUAUAAGCUCCCCCUUGUCUGCGGAAGGAGCGGCCUCCGGAUGUCGUCAGUAAUGUGUUCUGAGCGCUGAUUUAGAGGGAACCCACCGGCCAGGCUUCUCUCAGAGUUAGCCUGACCGCUGGACUACCUGGGUGAGGAGUACGAGAGGGGGAGGAUAGGUAUCUCACUCACGCUACAAAUCACAUUUAUAUCCUUAAAAGAUGUGGAGAUCGAUUAAAUGCCACGGUGUCGUGUGGAAAGUGAAUUCUGUCCUAUAAAACAGUCUGUGAGGGGACUCGCCUUUUCCCUCCCUCCCCCAGUUUCGGUUGUCGUCUCUUACGUAAAAGUUAAUUGAGCCACUGAUUUUAGUGCUCAGGUCACAGGGGCUCGAAAUAUACUGGUGGAAACUGCUCAACCUCUCCAAGAUUCAUUUGUUUCUUUAUAUUUUACAUGACUAUUCUGGUUUCAUUGUGAAAAAGCAAAAAGUGUUUGUAUUAUUUGUACUUUUUACCCCCCAAUUUUGUGAUAUCCAAUUGGUAGUUACAGUCUUGUCCCAUUGCUGCAACUCCCCUACGGACUCGGGAGAGACGAAGGUCGUUAACCUGGAAGCCAGCCGUACAAAUGUGUUGGAGGAAACACCGGCCAACUGGUGACCAAAGUCUGCUUGCAUUAGGAGUCGCUAGAGCGCGAUGGGACAAGGAAAUACUGGCCGCCCUCCCCUCCCCUAACCCGGACGACGCUAGGCUAAUUGUGCAACGCUUCAUGGGUCUCCCGGUCACGGACGGCUGUGACACAGCCUGGGAUCGAACACAGGGCUGUAGUGACGCCUCAAGUACUGCGAUGCAGUGCCUUAGACCGCUGCGCCACUCGGGUGGCCCUCAAAAUAAAAUGUUGCCCAGAGGCUCACUUUUUUAUA